RNAcentral lists this transfer RNA (65 nucleotides) under Andrena chrysosceles. RNAcentral's name for it is "tRNA-Glu". The record is from RNAcentral. Lineage: Eukaryota; Metazoa; Arthropoda; Insecta; Hymenoptera; Andrenidae.
AUUUAUAUAGUUUAAAUAAAAACAUUAUAUUUUCAAUAUUAAAUUAAUAAGUCUAUUUAUAAAUU